Non-coding RNA from Zootermopsis nevadensis, 612 nucleotides. The record is from RefSeq and is a predicted model, not a curated record. NCBI's taxonomy places the organism in Eukaryota, Metazoa, Arthropoda, Insecta, Blattodea, Termopsidae.
GAACUUGUGGGGAGUGCCCAGUAUGCGGACCACUCAAUGAAGGAAGGAAGGAGCUUCCGUAGCCUGCAUAGUGACUGGGUGCGGACUGGACCGACAAGAGCGUAGACUUAUCUUCGAGAUAACGUCCGGACUGUCCUUGGGUCGACCUAGCCUGCUGUUCAGUGGGUCAGAGAUCGGAGAAUGAAUCCGACCACUCACCUUUAAUGCCGAGCUCAGGAAUGUGUAUAACUAUAAUCUAACCUCACCCCUCUUAUUAUGCCUUUGUGGUGUGGUACUUAGGCACAAAGAGAUUUUAGCUUUACCAGCUAUCAGUUGUUGCUGAGAACAAUACAAUUAUCAUCUAAGUUACAACAGGGCGAACUGCUGUUUCCGAUAACAGCUACUACGUUUGUUACUCAACAGAUGCAGGAAUAGAAUGACUUACUGCACAUUGGAAUACCUAAUACUCAAUUCAGUGUAAAUUCGGGCAAAUUUCUGCAUACUUCGACGUGGUUAACGAUGCGAUUGUAAGGUACUCGAGACCCUUCCCUGAACAAUGUGGGAGAGGCCAAACUAACAAUACACAACUCAGGGCUCAAUAAAGUGGCUGCAGACAGCUGUUUUUACAGUAAA